UUAUGACCUACAAAGUGAAGU
Molecule: non-coding RNA, 21 nt
Filed under: Drosophila melanogaster (fruit fly)
Lineage: Eukaryota; Metazoa; Arthropoda; Insecta; Diptera; Drosophilidae
Source: RNAcentral